Molecule: ribosomal RNA, 495 nt
Filed under: uncultured bacterium
Lineage: Bacteria
Description: bacterial SSU rRNA
Rfam family: Bacterial small subunit ribosomal RNA
Source: RNAcentral
AGUGAACGCUGGCGGCAGGCCUAAUACAUGCAAGUCGAACGGCAGCACAGUGGAGCUUGCUCCAUGGGUGGCGAGUGGCGGACGGGUGAGGAAUACAUGGGAAUCUGCCCAGUCGUGGGGAUAACGUAUGGAAACGUACGCUAAUACCGCAUGCGCCCUUCGGGGGAAAGUCGGGGACCGCAAGGCCUGACGCGAUUGGAUGAGCCCAUGUUCGAUUAGCUAGUUGGCGGGUAACGGCCCACCAAGGCGACGAUCGAUAGCUGGUCUGAGAGGAUGAUCAGCCACACUGGAACUGAGACACGGUCCAGACUCCUACGGGAGGCAGCAGUAGGGAAUAUUGGACAAUGGGCGCAAGCCUGAUCCAGCCAUGCCGCGUGAGUGAAGAAGGCCCUCGGGUUGUAAAGCUCUUUGUUGGGAAGAAAGCAGUUGGUUAAUACCCGAUUGUUCUGACGGUACCCAAAGAAUAAGCACCGGCUAACUUCGUGCCAGCAGCCG